CAGCAGCCGCGGUAAUACGAAGGGUGCAAGCGUUAAUCGGAAUUACUGGGCGUAAAACGUGCGUAGGCGGUUUGUUAAGUCUGUUGUGAAAUCCCCGGGCUCAACCUGGGAAUGGCAAUGGAUACUGGCAAGCUAGAGUGUGUCAGAGGAUGGUGGAAUUCCCGGUGUAGCGGUGAAAUGCGUAGAGAUCGGGAGGAACAUCAGUGGCGAAGGCGGCCAUCUGGGACAACACUGACGCUGAGGCACGAAAGCGUGGGGAGCAAACAGGAUUAGAUACCCGCGUAGUCCCUGUCUCUUAUAA
This 301-nucleotide ribosomal RNA is filed under the name uncultured bacterium. RNAcentral's name for it is "partial 16S ribosomal RNA". It matches the Rfam family "Bacterial small subunit ribosomal RNA", at positions 509 to 809 of the family's 1533-position model. The record is from RNAcentral.